RNAcentral lists this ribosomal RNA (513 nucleotides) under uncultured bacterium. RNAcentral describes it as "partial 16S ribosomal RNA". It matches the Rfam family "Bacterial small subunit ribosomal RNA", at positions 28 to 523 of the family's 1533-position model. The record is from RNAcentral.
GACGAACGCUGGCGGCGUGCCUAAUACAUGCAAGUUGAGCGCUGAAGGUUGGUACUUGUACCGACUGGAUGAGCAGCGAACGGGUGAGUAACGCGUGGGGAAUCUGCCUUUGAGCGGGGGACAACAUUUGGAAACGAAUGCUAAUACCGCAUAACAACUUUAAUCACAAGUUUUAAGUUUGAAAGAUGCAAUUGCAUCACUCAAAGAUGAUCCCGCGUUGUAUUAGCUAGUUGGUGAGGUAAAGGCUCACCAAGGCGAUGAUACAUAGCCGACCUGAGAGGGUGAGCGGCCACAGUGGGACUGGGACACGGCCCAAACUCCUACGGGAGGCAGCAGUAGGGAAUCUUCGGCAAUGGACGAAAGUCUGACCGAGCAACGCCGCGUGAGUGAAGAAGGUUUUCGGAUCGUAAAACUCUGUUGGUAGAGAAGAACGUUGGUGAGAGUGGAAAGCUCAUCAAGUGACGGUAACUACCCAGAAAGGGACGGCUAACUACGUGCCAGCAGCCGCCGUAA